UUUUCAAUUACAUUACUAAUUUCGGCGUCGGCUGUUGGAGCUCCGUCCCCAAGCUCGCUGGCUUGGAAAGAUGUGGGAAAAGUUGUAGGCUAAGAUGGAUAAACUACUUGAGACCUGAUUUGAAGAGAGGGAUGUUCUCACAACAAGAGGAGGAUUUAAUUAUCAGUCUCCAUGAAGUUUUGGGGAACAGGUGGGCGCAGAUUGCAG
This 207-nucleotide unclassified non-coding RNA is filed under the name Hevea brasiliensis (rubber tree). The record is from RNAcentral. Lineage: Eukaryota; Viridiplantae; Streptophyta; Magnoliopsida; Malpighiales; Euphorbiaceae.